Molecule: ribosomal RNA, 380 nt
Filed under: Sarcinochrysidales sp.
Lineage: Eukaryota; Pelagophyceae; Sarcinochrysidales
Also listed under: 1 other name
Description: SSU rRNA
Rfam family: Eukaryotic small subunit ribosomal RNA
Source: RNAcentral
AGCUCCAGUAGCGUAUAUUAAUGUUGUUGCAGUUAAAAAGCUCGUAGUUGGAUUUCUAGCCGACUUGCUUGUGUCCGCGUCUCUUAUGAGCGUGAGUACCGAUGCGUGUCGUCUAUCCUAUCAGUUUCUCGGGCUUCGGUCCGUUUGACUGGUUCUUUUACUUUGAAAAAAUUAGAGUGUUUAAAGCAGGCUUGCGCAAUGAAUACAUUAGCAUGGAAUAAUAACAUAGGACUUCGGUCUCUAUUUUGUUGGUUUCUAGAACUGAAGUAAUGAUUGAUAGGGAUAGUUGGGGGUGCUAGUAUUCAGCGGCCAGAGGUGAAAUUCUCGGAUUCGCUGAAGACUAACUUAUGCGAAAGCAUUCACCAAGGAUGUCUUCUUUA